Molecule: ribosomal RNA, 496 nt
Filed under: uncultured bacterium
Lineage: Bacteria
Description: partial 16S ribosomal RNA
Rfam family: Bacterial small subunit ribosomal RNA
Source: RNAcentral
AUGAACGCUGGCGGCGUGCCUAAUACAUGCAAGUCGAGCGAACGGACGAGAAGCUUGCUUCUCUGAUGUUAGCGGCGGACGGGUGAGUAACACGUGGAUAACCUACCUAUAAGACUGGGAUAACUUCGGGAAACCGGAGCUAAUACCGGAUAAUAUUUUGAACCGCAUGGUUCAAAAGUGAAAGACGGUCUUGCUGUCACUUAUAGAUGGAUCCGCGCUGCAUUAGCUAGUUGGUAAGGUAACGGCUUACCAAGGCAACGAUGCAUAGCCGACCUGAGAGGGUGAUCGGCCACACGGGAACGGAGACACGGUCCAGACUCCUACGGGAGGCAGCUGUAGGGAAUCUUCCGCAAUGGGCGAAAGCCUGACGGAGCAACGCCGCGUGAGUGAUGAAGGUCUUCGGAUCGUAAAACUCUGUUAUUAGGGAAGAACAUAUGUGUAAGUAACUGUGCACAUCUUGACGGUACCUAAUCAGAAAGCCACGGCUAACUACGUG